AGGUGAACCUGCGGAAGGAUCAUU
This 24-nucleotide non-coding RNA is filed under the name Drosophila erecta. RNAcentral also lists the same sequence under 17 other names. The record is from RNAcentral. Lineage: Eukaryota; Metazoa; Arthropoda; Insecta; Diptera; Drosophilidae.